This 253-nucleotide ribosomal RNA is filed under the name uncultured bacterium. RNAcentral describes it as "partial 16S ribosomal RNA". It matches the Rfam family "Bacterial small subunit ribosomal RNA", at positions 524 to 776 of the family's 1533-position model. The record is from RNAcentral.
GACAGAGGCCUCGAGCGUUAGGCGGAAUCACUGGGCUUAAAGCGUGUGUAGGCGGGCCCGUAAGUGUAUUGUGAAAUCCCACGGCUCAACCGUGGAACUGCUGGGCAUACUGCGGGUCUUGGGCCAACUAGGGGCAGCCGGAACAAGCGGUGGAGCGGUGAAAUGCGUAGAUAUCGCUUGGAACGCCGAAGGUGAAAACAGGCUGCUGGGGUUGCGCCGACGCUGAGACACGAAAGCCAGGGGAGCAAACGGG